GGGGCGGGGAGGGGGCGUUCCUGCGACCCGCCGCCCGUGAUGUCACAAUCGCGGCUGGCCCUGGCGUUCCCGGGUCGGCUUGGGGCGCCCGGCUGCAGGGCGGCGAUUGAAGCGGGCCGCUGGCUCCCGAGUCAUGGAGUUCCCCUGGCCCCUCCUCUACCACUCCCACUCCCGCGCUGGGCCCCCCCGCGGGGGCUAGCGUCCGCGCGGCGGCUCCGAGGGGGUGGGGCUGCAGGGAAUGGCUGUGCCCCCUUCGGCUCCCCUGCCGUGCUCGCCCUUUUACCUGAGGAGGCAGGCGCCUUGCCCACAGUGCUCAUGGGGCAUGGAGGAGAAGGCGGCGGCCGGCGCGGGCUGCCGGGAGCCGCCGGGCCCCCGAGGGCCGCCGCCGUCCCGUGCUUUGGCAUAUCCGUGGACCACAACGACAUCCUCCCCGGCGCCCUGCGCCUCAUCCGGGAGCUGCGACCGCAUUGGAAGCCCGAGCAAGUUCGGACCAAGCGCUUCACUGAUGGCAUCACCAACAAGCUGGUGGCCUGCUACGUGGACGAGGACAUGCGGGACUGUGUGCUGGUCCGGGUGUACGGGGAGCGGACGGAGCUGCUGGUGGACCGAGAGAAUGAGGUCAGGAACUUCCAGCUGCUGCGGGCACAUGGCUGCGCCCCCAAACUCUACUGCACCUUCCAGAACGGGCUGUGCUACGAGUACAUGCAGGGCAUGGCCCUGGGGCCUGAGCAUAUCCGUGAGCCCCGGCUCUUCAGGCUCAUCGCCUUAGAAAUGGCAAAGAUUCACACCAUCCACGCCAAUGGCAGCCUGCCCAAGCCCAUCCUCUGGCACAAGAUACACAAUUAUUUCACCCUUGUGAAGAAUGAAAUCAACCCCAGCCUUUCUGCAGAUGUCCCUAAAGUGGAGGUGUUGGAACAGGAGCUGGCCUGGCUGAAGGAGCAUCUGUCUCAGUUGGAUUCCCCUGUGGUGUUUUGUCACAAUGACCUGCUCUGCAAGAAUAUCAUCUAUGACAGCACCAAAGGUCAUGUCCGAUUCAUUGACUAUGAAUAUGCCGGCUACAACUACCAAGCUUUUGACAUUGGCAACCAUUUCAAUGAGUUUGCAGGUGUGAAUGAGGUCGAUUACUGCCUGUACCCGUCGCGGGAGACCCAGCUGCAGUGGCUGCGCUACUACCUGCAGGCACAGAAGGGGAUGGCUGUGACCCCCAGGGAGGUGGAGAGGCUCUACGUGCAAGUCAACAAGUUUGCCCUGGUGAGUGCGUGUGACUGGGAGGCGGAGGGGAAGGAGGAGCCAGGAGGAGGGACUCAGGGCUUACCCCCAGCUCCUACCUCCCCACAGCCCAGGGAGGAGGAAGCCCAGCCCAGGGUCAGGGGUGAGGCCCUGGAGACUCUCGUGCUAUGUUCUAGAGCCCCAAACCAGAGGGGCCGUCUGGAAAGAGACAUCUUGGGCCUCCGGUUAAUAGUAAAAUGCCCUGUUCACUGCUUUCCUCUCAUUCCAUCAAGUCCAGGUUUUCUCCUUACCAGGGAACGACUUCCAAAGAGAUCUCAGCUUCCUACUAUCUCUCACUGAGAUAAGUUCUUUCUAGUGUCUAACCUUGGCCUUUUAUGCUGCAGUUAAACACCCCCCCCCCGUUUUUUUAAGCCUCUAGAGGAGAUAGAGAAUGUUAGUUCUUUUUUUUUUUUUUUUUUUUUUUUUUUUUUUUUUUUUUUUUGUCUUUUGUCUUUUUAGAGCCACACCCAUGGCACAUGGAGGUUCCCAGGCUAGGGGUUGAAUUGGAGCUACAACUGCCGGCCACAGCCACAGCCACAGCCACAGCCACGCCAGAUCCGAGCCACGUCUGCAACCUACACCAUAGCUCACAGCAACUCCAGAUCCUUAACCCGCUAAGUGAGGCCAGGGAUCGAACCUGCAACCUCAUGGUUCCUAGUUGGAUUUGUUUCUGCUGCAUCACAGCGGGAACUCCAAGAAUGUCAGUUCUAAUCCCCCUUUUUAACUACCUCCACUGUCUCAGACCCCUAUGUAAGCCUUUCCCGUCAGGCUCUUCCUUCUCAAAUCACUGUGCUGUCAGUUCUAGAUUUUGAGUGCUGCUUAGCCAAGGUACAUGCCAGGUCUCCAUUGCUGGGUGCCCAGGGGAUUGCUGACUAGUCUUGCUAAUGUCAGCCAUGCAUAAGCAAGAAGAUGAGUCAGCUGUCCUGAAUUAAAUAAAAGCUUUAAUUACCUGUACUUUUGGAUUGCGGAUUCUAUUUUCCAUAUUGGUAUAAAACUGAUUCUCAUCAGGUUCUUCCUCUUAAGUGUUCCACCCAUGCCUUCCUCUUGCUAAACUUUUUUUUUUUUUUUUUUUUAGGGCUAUAGGUGCAACAUAUGGAAGUUCCUAGGCUAGAGAUCAAAUCAGAGCUACAGCUGCCUGCCUAUGCCACAGCUACAGCAACACCAGAUCCGAGCUGCAUUUGUGACCUACACCACAGCUCAUGGCAAUGCUGGAUAGUUAACCCACCAAGAAGGGCUGGGGAUCGAACCCUCAUCCUCAUGGAUACGAGUCUGGUUCAUUUCUACUGAGCCACAAUGGGAACGUCCCUCUUGCUAAAUCUGUAGUGAUGAUUCCCACUUGCUAAUUAAUCUCCAUCCCUUUAAGUUAUGGGAGAGGAAUAGCAUGGAGGGAGGAACUAUAGAGUCAACCCCAGAGUGGGCAGGACUUAGGGUGGGAUGGGAGGGCUGCGGGAGUGGGCCCCCUGGCCUGGGAAUGCAGUGGUGGCACAGCUGUUUGUCCAGGAAUAGCAGGAACCAUGGUGCUCUGGCUUCUUGAGCCCAGGGUAGCCUGGGCCCCCUGGUUGUCUGGCUCUGGGGAGGCAGGUGACCUACGGCACGGGGAUCGGUGCCUGGCUCAGACCUUCCUCCCAUGUCUAUGCUCAUUCUCUAACCUGAGCUCCUCAUGGUAGGAGACAGGGAAGGGGAGGAGGAGGUCAGCUUAGGGGUCUUCCAGCAACUGGCCCUAUGAUGCCCAUGUGACCAGGGCACUACGGACAGGGUGCCAGCCCCUGCACUGGCCACCAGGCCUAGGCUCUGGCUUAGGGAUUCCUCUCAUCCUGGAUACUUUGGCCUUAAAGAGUCUCUUGGGUAGGGAAGAGACCAGGGAUGGAGCUUGGGUCCUGCUUAGGCUGGGGAGCAGGUUGAAAGCCCCCAUCCUGCUUAAGCCCCAGAAGGGGUAGAGCCUACUCUGCUUGCCUUUUUUUAGAAGGAGUGGAGCCCCCAAAUAUCGUCAGUGACUUGACCUCUGCGAUAUCCCCCAUCUGUGCCAGGAGGACCCCACCCUGUCUCUGCCAGUGUCCUCGUAUCUCUGAUGGUGACUGUAUCCCUCCAGGUCUGGGGGUCCGUGACAGGUGUGUGGGGGGGGUCACCACACUGACCUUGUCUGAUCCGUUUUCAGGCGUCUCACUUCUUAUGGGCCCUCUGGGCCCUCAUCCAGAGCCAGUUCUCCACCAUUGACUUCGAUUUCCUCAGGUACGCAGUGAUCCGAUUCAACCAGUAUUUCAAGGUGAAGCCUCAAGUAUCGGCCUUGGAGAUGCCAAAGUGACCAGCUUCCCCCUCCCUCUCCUACCCAUCUGCCUGGCCAGACCCAUCCUCCAGGGCUCAGUUCUGCUCUGGGGUCUGCACCCUCGGACAAGAUGGGAGAGGGGACAGGUGGGUGUCCCAGGAGAAGGCUCUGCCCCUGCUGCCAGCCCCUGGGACGCUGCUGGUGACCACAUUCUCCUUUGGAGGGGUUGACAGGACCCAGCUCUGGGGAUCGUCUUCACCUUAUCAGACUUGGGGUCGGUGGUGGCAGAGGGCCUGUGGCCAGCCAGGACUCUGACCACACCCAUCCCGGGAAGCCCGGCAUUCCUAGCCCGGGGCCAUGCUGGAAUCUGGGCUGCCUUAGAUGUGUCUUUGACCUUGCUGGCCUGGGGAAGGGGGAAGGUGGGAGGGCUCCAUUCUACCUCCAGUGCCCUGAGCCUCCAGCCUGUCUACCCCUGCAUGCCCCACAUGGGAGGUGCUGAACUCAAACCAGCAUCCUGCCAGCUCUGACAGAUGGAUGUAGAUAUUUGGGGUAGGGGAGGUCCUAGAAUUAGGUUUGAUGGCUCGCCCAGCAGCCACCUCAUCUGAGAUCCCUGUGUUUCUCCAAAUCAGAUCCAAUCCAAUAACCCCUUCCCAAACCUCAGCCCAAGGACAUGUGCUCUCCUCCAGGCUUGGGUUCUGUCUCUCUGCCACCUGCUGGGAGGGAAGGGAAUGGUGACAUCUUGGGCCACCAAGGGCUGGCUCUGCUUCAUGCUGUGGCUUGGCUGGAGGGAACGUAGCCAGCAGCCUCCUGCCUUGCUCCCUCCCCUUCCCUCCUCAAGUGGAUCCAGGGUCUCGCUGCUGGGGAACGACUCGUGAGAGUUAAACAGCAGGGCCAGGGACCGGGGCCAGGGACCUCAGGGGCUUGCCCAGUGUGGGGGAGCCUGGGUGGGAUGGGUUGUGAAGGUGCUGAAGGAGCUGCCACCCCUGACUCCCAAUGGCCUCCACCUCCCUUCUGCCCUCACAGCCUCAUGGGCUUUCCUGCCUCUGACCUAUAAAAUGAUUCAUUUGUAAAUUAUCAUGGUUUUCUGCAUUAAACUGACCAUUUAUGGAC
This is a non-coding RNA of Sus scrofa (pig), 4642 nucleotides long. NCBI's taxonomy places the organism in Eukaryota, Metazoa, Chordata, Mammalia, Artiodactyla, Suidae. The record is from RefSeq and is a predicted model, not a curated record.